CUGGUCACGGGCAAACCGUUAUAAGUAGCGAUGGGCACGAACUGAAAUACAAUUUUUUGAUAUAUAUCAUUAAAUAUUUUUUUAGAAUGUUGGCUUGAAUAUUUUGACGAUUAAACAUAUUAUGCAUUUGCAUUGUACAUGUAUUUUUAAUGACGUUGCAAUUUUUUAUGAAUGAAGUUGUUUGAUUAUUAUAUAGGUUAUGAUUGUUACAUAGGUUAUGAAUGAAGUUAGUAACUGAAAUAUUCAAAUGUCGACUGAUAUAUAUUAAUCGCAUAGUCGAUCGAUAUAUCGCACAUAGUGUAAUAGGAUAUACUUCCAAUAAGAAAUCGAAUUCGUAAUAGAACAAAUAUAUAAAAAAAAAUCAAAAUAUGAAAUUACGAGAAUAUCGAUUCCAUCACUAGUCGUAAGUUGCCGGUUGAGACUGAUGCAAGGUCGUCGACGAUUGUUUCAGGACUUCAAGAAAAGGGAGUUAUGAAAGAAAUAAACAUGCGCCUCGCGACGCCUGUGUCACGACACCUGGCGUACAUCCAUGGCCAAGGUCCUCCCCGGUCACGGGCAACCCGUUAUACGUAGUUGGAGCUAACACUUGCUCGAGGUCGCCCAUGACUGUCUUACUCGCCCUAAGGCUCGGAAAAAGUUAAUCUCCAAGCAGAGCUAUCUAAUAUGCAACAUAGAGAUGAACAUUUUAAUGAUUUCACUUUGAAUUGAAACAUUUACAUGCAGAUCUUUAUAUAUUAAAGAUGAUUCAUCGAAGUAGUUGGAAUUUGGUUUCUGCAUUGCACUAUGAGCAAUUUUUGUUGAUGCACGUACACAUAAACGCUUUGUGCAUUCAUGCUCCAACAAGACGUCAUGUCCUCGUGAUCUGUGUGCAAUUGUGUACACAUGGUGCACGUCAACGUAAGCUUAUGUACGUCGUAUCAAGACACGUCAAGGGCAUGACCGUAGAAGCGAGGAUUCACGAUGGAAAAUCACGAUCACGGCGAUGGAAAAAAAGGAGUUCUCCGCGAAAAUCAGAAUAAUCCUUUUAUAAAGAUUGAAAUUACAACGAAAGAAGAGAUCGCUGUUCUAGCUUGGUUUCGAUAAAAUUGGCUCAACAGGUGCUGCCCCCUGGUCGAUCGUUCCUGAGUGAAAAGCCGCGAUAGAUCGCGAUCCACAGGAUCAUUUAAAUAACAGCUGCAUCAUGAUCACGGGAGGUAUCGUAUUCAUAAUUACGGGAAGAUGUAUACAGCGGAGACUCAAAUUCCAAGCACGAACACAGUAAAAAUACUACCAGGGAGCAGAAGUACGUCGCGUAAGCUGGUAUUUUCAGUAGGAUGACAAACGCAAAGAUACGUGACGUCAGAGAUCACAAGCGACAUUCCAUUGUCACGGAGGUCGGGACUAUAGUUCAUAAGAGGAAAGCACGAAAGUCAUGGAGGAAAUAGUUGAUUAGGAUACUCGUUUAAAACAAUGCGCGUCCGAUACAUCGAGUCAUAGUUACAAUUGAAUUGCUGUUUUAAUUUCCAUUGGUUAGUUGUACAGACUGAGCUGUACAAACUGUUUCACGACAGUAGUACAAUCUCUAAGAAGAUUCUUCACGAUGAAAUAGAACAAAAAUUUAAAAAGUAUAAAUUUUUGGACAUACUUUACUUUUGAAAUCAUUGAUAACGUUGAAAAUCUUUAGGCACACGUGUAUUAAGUUUUGACCUGAAUGAAUCUCUCUGUAUGAUCGAUAGAGGAUUGAAACGCAGAUUUAAAAUUGAUAGUUCAAACAGACAAAUUUUUGAUUCUUUACGACCAGAGAUUAACAAUAUUAUGAGACUGUUUUAAAAAAUGAAUCGCGUUCUUUUCUUUUUUAUUAAAUUCACAUAGAAUUUUAGAAGAAAAGUCAAUAUCUUUCCUUCGCCACGUUGUUUGUACUUGUAAAUGUGUUGUCGCGAUUUACCUUUUGUCAUUGAUAUUAUCUUACAUGCUGGAAAAAUACAGCUAGUACACGUGUAGGUACAUCUAAUGAAUUCUACUUCGUUUCAAAGAAAGGAAAUCUUAAUGCAAAAACUUAAUUCUAUAUUUUUAAUUUCUUAUAACUUUUUUUUAACUUUUUUACUUUUGCAUACGAACUGUCCCAACUAAAUGAAUAUGCUAUCACAACUAAAGCAAUCUGUCAAAUCAUAUUUCUCACCAGAUAAUUCACUAUCACCAUUUUUACGAUGCAAUGUCAUUGUGACGAAUAAACCGAAGUAUUGAUGCACGAAAUAUGUAUAUAAAUCCUGUUCCGCCAGGUUUUCUGCGUUGAAUCGACGCGGAAUUUGAACCGCGUCGAUUCAACGCGGCAAAUGAAAUAAAUUAUUUAUCGACAAUAAUUUAAAUAUUAAUAUUAACGUCCUUCUUGUUCGAUGAAUGCACUUUUGUUUGGUGACUCGUGAACAAUCCAUAUUCAUAUGGUUCCUACAGAGAGACACAAGGUUCUGAAAACGCUCGUGGCAUGCUUACACGGUGUUGUGCACGUGUUAGAUCAUCCACACAUUAAGCGUCUUUCCUACACGAGUCAAGGUCGGUUUUCAAGGCUUACCCAAGCGUUUCCUAGUUGAUUACGUUCAAUGGAACGCAUUAUGCAUGUGCGUUCGACUGGAUGUCAACCGAUAGCUGACUGUCCUCAAGCGCUUCAAUUCGCUCGUCAAUGAGGACAGAUCCAUGUACCUGGCAUAUCGCGAUUCGCUAACGAUUCUCUAACUCGUUAAUCAAGCAGAACGGGUUAACUCGCCGCUUGAAUUGAAGAUCAAUCUUUCAGGUACAAUAACAUUUUUAUUUGUCAUUAAAUGUCUUUGUGGGUAGUAAAUGUCUUUUGUGAAGAAGAAAUAGUAGAUACUAAGUUUUAAGGCCAGUUUUAAUGGAGACAAGUAAAUUGCAAAUUAGUAUAAAAUUAAAAUACAAGGAAUAGGAAAAAAUUUAU
RNA transcript from Frieseomelitta varia, 2929 nucleotides. RefSeq lists it as uncharacterized. NCBI's taxonomy places the organism in Eukaryota, Metazoa, Arthropoda, Insecta, Hymenoptera, Apidae. The transcript is spliced from 6 exons. The record is from RefSeq and is a predicted model, not a curated record.